This 1952-nucleotide ribosomal RNA is filed under the name human gut metagenome. Its description in RNAcentral is "bacterial LSU rRNA". It matches the Rfam family "Bacterial large subunit ribosomal RNA", at positions 3 to 1973 of the family's 2925-position model. The record is from RNAcentral.
UCAAGCUACAAAGGGCGCAUGGUGAAUGCCUUGGCAUCAGGAGCCGAUGAAGGACGUGAUAAGCUGCGAUAAGCUUCGGGUAGGCGCACAUAGCCAGUGAUCCGAAGAUUUCCGAAUGAGGGAACUCACAUGGGAAACCCCAUGUAUCCUGUAAUGAAUAAAUAGUUGCAGGAAGGUAAACCUAGGGAACUGAAACAUCUAAGUACCUAGAGGAAGAGAAAGAAAAAUCGAUUUUCUUAGUAGCGGCGAGCGAAAAGGAAAGAGCCCAAACCAGAGAUUUAUCUCUGGGGUUGCGGACAGAACAUAACGUGAAAUUAUGAUUAACCGAACACAACUGGAAAGUUGGACCGUAGGAGGUAAUAGUCCUGUAAGUAAAAGUCAUAAUGAUCAGUUCUGCACCAGAGUACCACGAGACACGUGAAACCUUGUGGGAAGCAGGGAGGACCACCUCCCAAGGCUAAAUACUACCUGAUGACCGAUAGUGAAGCAGUACCGUGAGGGAAAGGUGAAAAGAACCCCGGGAGGGGAGUGAAAUAGAACCUGAAACCAUGUGCCUACAACCGAUCAAAGCACCUUAUGUGUGUGAUGAUGUGCUUUUUGUAGAACGAGCCAACGAGUUACGGUAUGUAGCGAGGUUAAGUACUUAAGGUACGGAGCCGAAGGGAAACCGAGUCUUAAUAGGGCGACUAGUUGCAUGCUGUAGACCCGAAACCGGGUGACCUAUCCAUGGCCAGGUUGAAGCGAGGGUAAAACCUCGUGGAGGACCGAACCACGUUGCUGUUGAAAAAGCAUGGGAUGAGCUGUGGAUAGCGGAGAAAUUCCAAUCGAACUCGGAUAUAGCUGGUUCUCCUCGAAAUAGCUUUAGGGCUAGCGUCGUGAAAUGUGAGUACUGGAGGUAGAGCACUGAAUAGGCUAGGGGGCAUAGCGCUUACCGAACCUUAUCAAACUCCGAAUGCCAGAUACUAUCAGCACGGCAGUCAGACUAUGAAAGAUAAGUUCCAUGGUCAAAAGGGAAACAGCCCAGAUCGUCAGCUAAGGUCCCAAAGUGUAAGUUAAGUGGAAAAGGAUGUGGGAUUUCUAAGACAACUAGGAUGUUGGCUUAGAAGCAGCCACUCAUUAAAAGAGUGCGUAAUAGCUCACUAGUCAAGAGAUCCUGCGCCGAAAAUGUCCGGGGCUCAAACUUACCACCGAAGCUACGGGUUCAUACUUUGUAUGAGCGGUAGAGGAGCGUCGUAAUCGGGCUGAAGUCGUACCGUAAGGAGCGGUGGACUGAUUACGAGUGAGAAUGUUGGCAUUAGUAGCGAGAUGUAGGUGAGAAUCCUACAGGCCGAAUAUCUAAGGUUUCCUGAGUAAAGUUUGUCUUCUCAGGGUUAGUCGGGACCUAAGGCGAGGCCGAGAGGCGUAGUCGAUGGACAAUUGGUUGAUAUUCCAAUACCACUAUAAUCGUUAUUAUCGAUGGUGUGACGGAGAAGGAUAGGAUGUGCCAGCUAUUGGAUGCUGGUCUAAGCGUUGAGGGAGUUAGAACAGGCAAAUCCGUUCUAACAAUCCUAGGGCGUGAUGGGGAAGGUUCUACGGAACCGAAGUAUCUGAUUUCAUGCUUCCAAGAAAAGCAUCUAGAAAGAGAAGUAGUGCCCGUACCGCAAACCGACACAGGUAGAUGAGGAGAGAAUCCUAAGGCCAUCGGAAGAAUUGCAGUUAAGGAACUAGGCAAAUUGACCCCGUAAGUUAGCGAGAAGGGGUGCCUGCGAGAGCAGGCCGCAGAGAAUAGGCCCAAGCAACUGUUUAGCAAAAACACAGGUCUCUGCUAAAGCGUAAGCUGAUGUAUAGGGGCUGACGCCUGCCCGGUGCUGGAAGGUUAAGGGGAACACUUAGCGCAAGCGAAGGUGUGAACUUAAGCCCCAGUAAACGGCGGCCGUAACUAUAACGGUCCUAAGGUAGCGAAAUUCCUUGUC